UAGGGAAUCUUCGGCAAUGGGGGGAACCCUGACCGAGCAACGCCGCGUGAGUGAAGAAGGUUUUCGGAUCGUAAAGCUCUGUUGUUAAGGAAGAACGAGUGUGAGAAUGGAAAGUUCAUACUGUGACGGUACUUAACCAGAAAGGGACGGCUAACUACGUGCCAGCAGCCGCGGUAAUACGUAGGUCCCGAGUGUUGCCCGGAUUUAUUGGGCGUAAAGCGAGCGCAGGCGGUUAGAUAAGUCUGAAGUUAAAGACAGUGGCUCAACCAUUGUAGGCUUUGGAAACUGUUUAACUUGAGUGCAAGAGGGGAGAGUGGAAUUACCUGUGUAGCGGUGAAAUGCGUAGAUAUAUGGAGGAACACCGGUGGCGAAAGCGGCUCUCUGGUCUGUAACUGACGCUAAAGCUCGAAAGCGUGGGGCGCGAACAGG
This 429-nucleotide ribosomal RNA is filed under the name Bacteroidota bacterium. Its description in RNAcentral is "Bacteroidetes bacterium partial 16S ribosomal RNA". It matches the Rfam family "Bacterial small subunit ribosomal RNA", at positions 355 to 776 of the family's 1533-position model. The record is from RNAcentral. Lineage: Bacteria; Pseudomonadati; Bacteroidota.